UUUAAUAUGGCAGAUUAAGUGCAAUGGUGUUAAGUACCAUUUAUGAAAUUAUUUUAAAUUUCUAUUAAAA
Molecule: transfer RNA, 70 nt
Filed under: Pseudomyrmex peperi
Lineage: Eukaryota; Metazoa; Arthropoda; Insecta; Hymenoptera; Formicidae
Description: tRNA-Leu
Source: RNAcentral